UCUUAUGUGAAUAAGAAAUGAAAGUUCUCAUUUUCAUUCUCUAGCUUACUUCUUUCGCUAUUCAUAGUUGGUGUACACGAACAGGAUUAAAUACUAACUAAAUUACAUUGUUAAUUAGUUGGUGUUUAACUAAACAAUUACAACAAACCCUUCUUUUUUUCCUUCUUUCAGUUCUGAAUGUAUGAUUUCUGGGGUUUCCUCCAUUUACUCAAAUUUAUGCGCCGGUCAUGAUGGGUUGUGUUUUUAAGCUGAAAUUUCAAAGAGGGGUACUUAUGAUCCUAAUCAACGAAGUUUAGUAAUUUGAUCAAGGAGUUAUCACUGUAAUCUACAAAUUUUUUGUAGUUCGAUUAAAGAGCUUUUUCAACAUGAAAAGAGCGGUUAUGCCUUUGAAGUGUUUGAGAAAAUGGCUAAAUAAAGAGUUUUGGGGUGUUGGAAGCAUGCCCUUCUAGCUUUUGCCACCAUCUCUUUGCUAAUUUGCUUUCAUAUGGCUUCAUGGGUGCAAUUAUAAGGCAUAAAUUGAGAGAGCCGCGAAACCUAAAGAAGGAAACCGUAAAGAACAGUACAAGUCGAUAAUAUCGUUAUUAAUCAACUAAAGUAAGUGGCAGUAAUAAGUAACUGGAGACGAUGAAGUAGGAGUUGUCUGCCUCUCUGCAAAUGAAGUGUGAUGAAAUAAAGUCGAUAAUAUCGUUAUUAAUCAACUAAAGUAAGUGGCAUUAAUAAGUUACUGGAAACGAUGAAGUAGGAGUUGUCUGCCUCUCUGCAAAUAAAGUAUGAUGGUUGGAUUAAAGUUCUCAAGGAGUUCAGAUGUUAUCCAUAAAUUUUAUAAACAAAAGAGUUUGACAUCGAUCUUUUACCUGUAAUUAUAGACAUGCUGUUCUUUCUUUUACUAACCUCGCCAAGAUUUAUUUUGGAGUCACAAGAACACCGUAUUAUGAGUGAUUGAAGGUCUUAUACUUUUUCAUGAUUUUACAAUACAUCCGACCUUUAUGUCUUUGCAUGUUCCUCAUGCUUUAACUAAAAUAGGUUAAGUUUAGAAAUGUAUCUUUUAUGGUUAACUUCCAGGGGCAUGAUUUGUAUUACAGAAAACUACUUUGUCAAAUACCGCAGUCGAUAACUUCUCUGAAUACUCACCAGUAAAUUUAAUGAUCUACUCAGGUUGCAGUUACCGAACGCUUAGGUAGCCUUUAUGUUUCUCCAACAAUAGUUGGGAGCACGCCUUGGGGACUGAGUAUCGGGCCUUGGGAGCAAUGAUGAGUCUAGGCCGAGAAGGAUAAAGGAGAUUCUUGAGCUAUUUAUCAUUGGAAGGUCAGACAUGACGAUUGUUGUAUUCGACUCAACGGAUUUAGACAUAUUCAAAGUCAAUCAUAUCAUGUCUUCCGAAGACUGGCAUUUGAAAUCACUACAGAAACCUAACACGUGUAGGGACUGCCAACUGCCAAGACAACACCAUUACUUGCAAACAAAAUUCAUGUACACCAGGAAAAAGGAAACUAGCUGCUGGGUUAUCAAUGGAACAGAAAAUACUUAGUGUGGUUGGUGCAUCAAGUGGUAUUGCUAAAAUGGAGAUAUUUCCUGCCCUUUAUUUCACUACAUUACAAGGUUUCUUUUCCUAAGAGAACAUUCAGUACCACAAUGCUUGCCCCAUGGAAUGGUCAAUGAAUCCACCACCUCCACAUGCGGAGAACAUUUUCAGCAUCACCCCGUGGUCAAUGAAUCAUGGCUGGGGACUACUGCUGGAUCUACUGGCACUACUAAUAUCAUCUUCCCUAGCAGUUACAUGACACUACAAAAUAUCUGAAGGCAACACAACAAGUGCAGCAUGAGCCCUAAACACUUCAGCGGAUUAUAUGGUUGUAUUCUACUGCUUUAGUUUUUGGUUUUGUUGGGAAGGCGACCUUGGUCUAAAUAUAUGUAUGUAGAAUUCAAAGAAAAAGUUACGCUUUGUAACGACCGCUUUUACUUCUAAUUGCCAGAUAUGUACUAUAAUGAACAUGUGGCAAAGGUUUUUCCCUUUUCUGUAUAUACAAAAAUCCGACCUGAUGAUCACAUAAAGUGAACUAUUCAAUGGGAAAGUAAGAUUUCAUCAAAAUGUUUGCUAUA
Molecule: long non-coding RNA, 2100 nt
Organism: Papaver somniferum (opium poppy)
Lineage: Eukaryota; Viridiplantae; Streptophyta; Magnoliopsida; Ranunculales; Papaveraceae
Exons: 10
Source: RefSeq, a predicted model, not a curated record